GACGGCUCAGUAACACGUCGGUAACCUACCCUCGGGAGGGGGAUAACCCCGGGAAACUGGGGCUAAUCCCCCAUAGGCCUGGGGUACUGGAAGGUCCCCAGGCCGAAAGGGAGCCGUAAGGCUCCGCCCGAGGAUGGGCCGGCGGCCGAUUAGGUAGUUGGUGGGGUAACGGCCCACCAAGCCGAAGAUCGGUACGGGCCGUGAGAGCGGGAGCCCGGAGAUGGACACUGAGACACGGGUCCAGGCCCUACGGGGCGCAGCAGGCGCGAAACCUCCGCAAUGCGGGAAACCGCGACGGGGGGACCCCCAGUGCCGUGCCUCUGGCACGGCUUUUCCGGAGUGUAAAAAGCUCCGGGAAUAAGGGCUGGGCAAGGCCGGUGGCAGCCGCCGCGGUAAUACCGGCGGCCCGAGUGGUGGCCACUAUUAUUGGGCCUAAAGCGGCCGUAGCCGGGCCCGUAAGUCCCUGGCGAAAUCCCACGGCUCAACCGUGGGGCUCGCUGGGGAUACUGCGGGCCUUGGGACCGGGAGAGGCCGGGGGUACCCCCGGGGUAGGGGUGAAAUCCUAUAAUCCCGGGGGGACCGCCAGUGGCGAAGGCGCCCGGCUGGAACGGGUCCGACGGUGAGGGCCGAAG
RNAcentral lists this ribosomal RNA (632 nucleotides) under Pyrococcus sp. TC95-7C-S. RNAcentral's name for it is "bacterial SSU rRNA". It matches the Rfam family "Archaeal small subunit ribosomal RNA", at positions 83 to 709 of the family's 1478-position model. Lineage: Archaea; Methanobacteriati; Methanobacteriota; Thermococci; Thermococcales; Thermococcaceae. The record is from RNAcentral.